This 231-nucleotide ribosomal RNA is filed under the name uncultured bacterium. RNAcentral describes it as "partial 16S ribosomal RNA". It matches the Rfam family "Bacterial small subunit ribosomal RNA", at positions 1268 to 1500 of the family's 1533-position model. The record is from RNAcentral.
CAAAUCUCAAAAAAACAAUCUCAGUUCAGACUGCAGGCUGCAACUCGCCUGCACGAAGUCGGAAUUGCUAGUAAUCGUAGGUCAGCAUACUACGGUGAAUACGUUCCCGGGCCUUGUACACACGCCCGUCAAACCAUGAGAGUCGGGAACACCCGAAGUCCGUAGCCUAACCGCAAGGGGGCGCGGCCGAAGGUGGGUUCGAUAAUUGGGGUGAAGUCGUAACAAGGUACC